This 253-nucleotide long non-coding RNA is filed under the name Oryza brachyantha (malo sina). Its description in RNAcentral is "long non-coding RNA (OBRA_LNC001590)". Lineage: Eukaryota; Viridiplantae; Streptophyta; Magnoliopsida; Poales; Poaceae. The record is from RNAcentral.
AGGACAUGUAGCCUAGUGGUUGCAGUUACCUGAGUAGCAUCUAAGGUCCUGGGUUCAAAUCUCCAUAGGAGCAUGAAUUGGGUAUUUGAGGGGUUAAGUCUCUACUUAGGCUAAGUUCUCAAAGUUUUGGAUAUUUGAGUGCUAAGUCUCUACUUAGGCUAAGUCCUCAAAGUUCUCGAAAUAAAAAAAUGACCGCAUAUAGGGUAAAAGUACCCUUCUCUAAAAAAAAUAUUCUUUUUGCAAUGAUUCCGCA